This 417-nucleotide ribosomal RNA is filed under the name uncultured bacterium. RNAcentral describes it as "bacterial SSU rRNA". It matches the Rfam family "Bacterial small subunit ribosomal RNA", at positions 358 to 772 of the family's 1533-position model. The record is from RNAcentral.
GGAAUAUUGGUCAAUGGACGCAAGUCUGAACCAGCCAUGCCGCGUGCAGGAAGACGGUCCUAUGGAUUGUAAACUGCUUUUAUACAGGAAGAAACAACUCUACGUGUAGAGUCUUGACGGUUCUGUAGGAAUAAGGAUCGGCUAACUCAGUGCCAGCAGCCGCGGUAAUACGGAGGAUCCAAGCGUUAUCCGGAAUCAUUGGGUUUAAAGGGUCCGUAGGCGGCCUUAUAAGUCAGUGGUGAAAUCUCCUAGCUCAACUAGGAAACUGCCAUUGAUACUGUAGGGCUUGAAUUCUUAUGAAGUAACUAGAAUAUGUAGUGUAGCGGUGAAAUGCUUAGAUAUUACAUGGAAUACCAAUUGCGAAGGCAGGUUACUAAUAAGACAUUGACGCUGAUGGACGAAAGCGUGGGGAGCGAA